UACGUAGGGGGCAAGCGUUGUCCGGAUUUAUUGGGCGUAAAGAGCUCGUAGGCGGCUUGGUAAGUCUGGUGUGAAAUCUCCACGCUCAACGUGGAGGGGCCACCCGAUACUGCCAUGACUGGAGUCCGGUAGAGGAGUGUGGAAUUCCCGGUGUAGCGGUGAAAUGCGCAGAUAUCGGGAGGAACACCCGUAGCGAAGGCGGCACUCUGGGCCGGUACUGACGCUGAGGAGCGAAAGCGUGGGGAGCGAACAGG
RNAcentral lists this ribosomal RNA (254 nucleotides) under uncultured bacterium. RNAcentral describes it as "partial 16S ribosomal RNA". It matches the Rfam family "Bacterial small subunit ribosomal RNA", at positions 524 to 776 of the family's 1533-position model. The record is from RNAcentral.